RNAcentral lists this non-coding RNA (284 nucleotides) under Curtobacterium sp. MMLR14_010. RNAcentral describes it as "partial 23S ribosomal RNA". It matches the Rfam family "Bacterial large subunit ribosomal RNA", at positions 111 to 444 of the family's 2925-position model. The record is from RNAcentral. Lineage: Bacteria; Bacillati; Actinomycetota; Actinomycetes; Micrococcales; Microbacteriaceae.
UCUCUGAAUGGGGAAACCCACCGGUCUUCGGACCGGUACCGUACGGUGAAUACAUAGCCGUACGGGGCGAACUCGGGGAACUGAAACAUCUAAGUACCCCAAGGAAAAGAAAUCAACCGAGAUUCCGAAAGUAGCGGCGAGCGAAAUUGGACUAGCCCUUAAGCUUUAUAUGCGUUAGACGAACGGUCUGGAAAGUCCGGCGAUACAGGGUGAUAGCCCCGUAGUUGACAACGCACAUUCAGUGAAAUCGAGUAGGGCGGGACAAGUGAUAUCCUGUCUGAAUA